This is a long non-coding RNA of Triticum dicoccoides, 1027 nucleotides long. RefSeq lists it as uncharacterized. Lineage: Eukaryota; Viridiplantae; Streptophyta; Magnoliopsida; Poales; Poaceae. The record is from RefSeq and is a predicted model, not a curated record. The transcript has 4 exons.
AAUCGUCACGCUGCUCAUCGGCAUUCUUCGGCCAAUUCGCUCGACCCCGACCAAAACCCUAGCCGCCGGGGCCGGCCAGCUCCGUCGCGGCGUCGGCGGAUCUCGUUUCGACGAGGCGAGGCAACUGCAUGGGAUUCUUGAUUCAUCUGAGGCCAUACCGAGUGAUGCUUCCACCUAAUCUCGCCGAUAUGAUAUGUCAAAAAUGUCGUUGGAAUGGUUCUUUUAUGCAUUGAGUGCAUCAACUUGAAUCCAAUUUGAGCUUGAAGGAAGCUGAUACUUGGCCUGCCAAGGUUCUAACCAUGAGAAAAGGUGAGAUGCAAAACUGUCCCAACACCGCCAUCUCCUUCAACAAGCUCGGCCUUUUUGAAGAUAUCGGGAAGCAAUUGAGGAACAACCUGGCUAAUACGGAGACCUCGAUACAUCUCCCAUACCUCCGCCGCGGGGAGGCCUGUCUCGAAGUCAUGGCAAAGGCUACCUUUCAUUGCUUCUAUGAGCUCUGGGUGGAAUGCCAAAGAUUGCACGGCCAGGAAUCCCUAGCAAGCAGCAAGCAGUUACUUCGCCAGUAUACUCAUUCGCAGCAUCGCUCUGGUCAUUGGCCAGUCAUGUUUGCAGAUUGUGGUGUUCAACUUUGGCGGACUAGAAAUGACACCGUUUUCAACAGAAUACAGACUCCCACUGUGGUGAUCGAAGUCAGGAUUUGUGACAACCUUAGGCUGUGGAACUGCCCUUUAAGGAAGGAUUCAGAAAAGACCACGCUUCUUGCCUGGGUCAACAAAUUUACAGUCGAAUAGGGCAUAUUUUCCAGUUUUCAAUUCAGCCUUCGGCCAGUUCUUUUGUGGUUUCUAUUCUGUUCUCGUUCGUUUGGUUCUUCGUUCCAUCUUUUGGCUGUUCCCAGACCCCCAGUCUGUGCCCCUCUUUGUGCUUCCCGCCCCCUGUGGCUUUUCUGAAUAUAAGGUAGGGAGCUCUACCUUCUCUAAAACAAUAUUUUAAGUAUUUUAUACUGAAAUAUCUUUUUUUAAAUAAAUGC